Long non-coding RNA from Gallus gallus (chicken), 2887 nucleotides. The record is from Ensembl. Lineage: Eukaryota; Metazoa; Chordata; Aves; Galliformes; Phasianidae.
GUUACUCAUCCAUGCAGAACUGCUGCUUGAAACUCGCAGUUGAUGUUUCUCUGGUGUCUCUGCCUUGGCUUUGCAGAAAAUACAGAGCAGGCUCAGACUUGAGCUAGGAGUUGUCAGUGGGGAGUAAUACAGAGGUUUUUGAAGGCCAGUCUAGAAAUCCAGAUCUUGAGUAGGGCGUUUUCCUCAAGAUGUGUAACAAACAAACUAUAGACACGUGAUAGGAGGGAAAACAGUGGAGUAUGUACUGAACUUCAAUACAGUAUGUAUUGAAAUGUAAGCUGUAUAAAAUGCGCACCUAUGGGGAAACAAAAGUUAGUCCUUGCAUGAAUUCAGAAUAGCACACACUUGAUUUUUCGGUUUCUAUAGGAUUUAUUAAGUAGAAGCCUUUACUCCCAUUAGCACAGCAGAGUCAAGCUGCACAGGAGUGUGCUGGAAUCCUCUACGCAUGUCAAUGAGUGUGUCCUACCGACAGCCUCAUUUUACAACCUGCACUUUCUACUGAAUGGGUAGGGACAGCUCUUUUCUCUCUUUAAGUCUCGCAGUGUGCUUUUACUGCUGUCAAGUAAGGACAAAACCAUUUCUUUCAUCAGGAACCAGCUUCGAAAUGGGAAGUGUGACCUUUUUCUUGUAUGCUCUUGGAAGUUUUGCUUAAGCUGCUAACCAUAACUUGCUUCCUUCCCACCCCCUGUUCGUGUUCCCUGCAAUUAGGCUGCAGUUCAUCCUUAUCUUAGUUUCUUGCAGUGCUAUUUAGAAUAAUGCUACCUGUCAGUGUUUUAGGAGUGUGAAUAGAGCAGUGCAUAGAACUGUUCAAAUGGUAGCAGUUACUUCAAAGGCCAAAGGCGGUGUCUCCUUCGAGUGACUUCAUGACUACCUGGGCAAGUCAGACACAAAGCUCUUUCUUUAUUGCAGUUAUUUUCUGUUGAUCUCUUUCUUUGUGUCCUGUGGAACAGAACAGGCGGACAGACUCCAGCACUUACCCGCAGGUGGCAAUGGAGCUGCAGGCUGUGUCUCAUUGUUCAAGAAGCAUUUCAAGACAGUUUAUUUCUGUAGUACAGCAUGCCAUACAUUGAGUUAAAUGGGGAAAAGGGUAUUCUUUUAUCUCUCAAUGAGUUGCAGCCAAGAUCUGUAAUUGCCUUGCUCUUAAUGUUGCAUAACUGUUAGCAAGACUCAAGCCAAGCAUUAAUGAAUUUCAUCAGAACUUCAUUUUUUAAUGAGCAUCAUUAAUCGUUAGUCAUGCGUGCUGCAACCUACACUUCUCUAAAGUGGGGGUUUGCCAAUCGUCUUGCACUAUAAAAACAGCAGCAUAUUUUCCCCUGAUUUUAUCAGUAAAAUAACAACAUGAAAAGACUAAAAGACUGGAGCUAGGGAGAAAAAAAAAAAAAAACCUCCUUUAUUUGAACUUUUAAAUACUUGAGAUGCUCUCUGAAAGUUAGUCUGCAAUUUCUGCUUGUGAGCAGCUGCUGCUGCACUGCUUUCUUCUCUACAGGCUUUGAUAAUACUGUGAGAGCUCGUAUGAGAGCUGGUAGGGAUCUUACGUACCAAACUUGAGGGUUACACCUACCAUGGUUUCUUAAGAUGGAUUCACUGGGCUUCCUCUAGCUCUCGUUACAAACUCCCAUAAGUUUUUAAGGCAAAACUUCUUUUCAGCUUUGGAAAAAUGACAGCAAGUGAUCCACUGUCCAGUAUUUAUUCCUUAAGGUUGUGCCUAAAGGCCACAGAAGGAACAUCAGCUUCCUGACUGCUUUGAGCACUUGUCUGGAUUUAGCAAUUCAGGUGACUAGUCAGUGCCUCUCCUGAUUCGCUCCCCCAUCCCUCUGAGGGAGAGCAAGCGAAUGGCUCUUAACCUGCAGUUAAACCACACCAACAGCAAUACUUUAUUUGCACUGAACUGCCUUACAGCUCAUUCAUACUCCCUCUAUAACCAAGCGGAGCUGACUACUUGCAGAGAGUCCUUGGAGUCUCUCUCUGGUCUUGCUCCAGUUCCAGAAGAGUUACUGGAAGGGAACCAACAAUAUGUUGAAUUUGGUGUACCUGGUGGUAACAUUUCAAAGAACCAUCUCUGCUUGGAAAGCCACCAGGAGGAGGCCUGGCCUUCCCAGAAGUGCACCAACAGCAGCAAAGAGUCUCUUGCAACCACUUAGCUACCUCUUUCUGCUCCGCAGCUGGGAUUAAUGCCCAAUUCUGUGAGCAUUUUUCCUCUUCCUCCUGUUUGCUCCACUGCAAAGUCAGACAGCUUAGUAUAAACUCCCUUCAAAGAAGCAUUCCAGCUGCUGAAUCAGCUGAGAAGACAAAGAGCAAGGCUGGUGUGAAGCCCAUUCUGGAGCAGUGGAAACCAACAAAAUUAAAACAAACAAACAAAAAAAUAUAUGAGGAAUCUGCACACAGACCACCUAAAGUGUGCAGCGCUACACUGGGGAGACUUGAUCUGAUGCAGUCAUUUGAUACAGCAAAGACAUCCUGCCAAAUCUAAAGUCUUAUAAUGUCUAAGAGACUGGCUUUGUCCCUAUUCCUCUACCAUGACCAUGAAACACCUGUGUGGAUCGGUAGAAAGAAUGGGUUUGGUGUGAGCAAAGGUCAGCUGUGGAUUUUGGAUUUUUCAGAUGCGUGCUUCUGAAGCUCUCUAUUAACACUGUGUUUGAAUCAGUAGCUUCAUCUCAAGCUGUAAUACUUCUGCGCUCAGUUCGGUGCUUUGAUGGCAUUGCAAGCUACAUUCCAGCCUCUUAACCAUAAUCUGUGUUUUCUUGGCACUGAAUGUGUGAACAAAUUUGGGAUUUGCUGGGGUUCUUGGGGGAGAUGAAUUUCAUCCUGUAGGAGAGGAAAAGCUCAAUGUCAUUAAUAAUGGAAAGUCAUGUUAAAUUUGGAUGCUUGUAGUGGAAUUUUAGAUUAC